This 2447-nucleotide long non-coding RNA is filed under the name Brachypodium distachyon (stiff brome). RNAcentral's name for it is "long non-coding RNA (BDIS_LNC000040)". Lineage: Eukaryota; Viridiplantae; Streptophyta; Magnoliopsida; Poales; Poaceae. The record is from RNAcentral.
UCCCGUGCGAGGGCGGUUCCGGCAACUUGCGUCGAGCGUGGAAUGGGCGAUUGCAAGUUCGUGCGUGUGCGCGACCUCGGUCAGCUAUUGGCAGCCCCGUAGACUGGAAGUCUGGAACCGCCCCACUUCCCCCACUUCCGGUGUUUAAAUUCCUUCCGCGGCUAAAAAAAAGGCCAGAUACGAGCUCUGCAGAUCAGUCUCCUCUCCGCUGCUCUCCUCUUCCCUGCUCUCCUCUCUUCCGACAUUGGUGGUAAUCAAAAAUUUCUACAGUUUCUCCUCCGUCGUCCUGCUAAUGGCAUUCUUCCUUCUCAGGUGUUCUGUCUUGUCAAUUUGUAGAACUCGAAAAACAAGUGAAGCGAGGAGACCUGGAGGAGUUCCGGUGAGCUACAUGUUAGUUCUCUUCCUCUCUUCUUCGGGCGCUGUUUCUUUGCAAUAUUCUACACUUCAGUUCAAAACUUUCUCUUAUGUAACUCUCAUCGUCAUGUUGUUUCUUGAACUGAGUGGUUAAUGUUUGGUUUCUAGCGUUGAUUACGGUUAGUUCUUGCUUCGUUUCUUGGUAGAUGCUCACAGGUAACUGAAAUGAAGUUCGAUCUGCUACUUGGUUUUGGAUAACUACAAUUCCUCUCACUUGGUUUAUCAUGCAAUUUAAUUUAUCACGGCAAGCUGCGGUAGUGAUAAAUAUAUACCCACUUCUGAAGCUGUGCAAUUAGAAAAACUGUGGAGGACAAGAAUUUGAUAUGUUCAUCACGUUGUAUUAGCAUAGGGACAAAUAAAGAUGCUGCUGUACAUGUUGUAGGGGGAAGUCUCCUAGGUUCAGUGAUGAAUUAUUGAUCAACACUUUAUUUUGAAAAUUGAUCUUUACAUUAUCUAAAAAUAAUCUUAUUAGAAUUUGCUACAUUCUAGAUUUGAAAUUAUAGACUGAGAUAUUUGACUUUUAGCUUUUAGUAUUAGCAUGUCUUCAUAGUAUGCUAUCAGGAGACAACUAGAAUCCGGUCCUGCUACAGAUAUAGGUGUAGCUGAAGGCAUUGCUCAAUUGUAGUCUUUGCUGGGUAUUACAUUACCCAUGAAGUUGGUGUUCAUAUGCCAAAAAAAAUCCCAUUUAAAUUCAGCUCCCUAUAUAUGAUUGAUUCAUUAUUUCUAUCCUUGGUCCUCCAGGUGCUGCCACUAAAUUAGCUUUGUGUGUCUCCUAGGUUCAGCUAUAAGUUUCAGUUUUAGUUCGAAGCGUUAAAUACUUGAAAUUAACUAGGAGGGUUCAGGUUCAGUUUGAAUUUAAGUUUCACUUUUAUUAUUUGAGUUUUAGGAUUAAGUUUCAGUUUCGUUUUAAUUUUUUCUAAGAAGGGUUGUACACUGUUGGAUGCUCGGUUUGUUUAUACAAGAGAGGGUGAUAUUAAUAGUACGGGGCUGAUGCUCGUGCUUUCUUGUGCUAGCUUCGUUUUCAGCUCAAUAGCUCAGGGAGUGUCUGGUUAUCAACAAAACAAAAAACUGACUGAGACCCAAAAAAUAUUUCAGGCAGCUGAAAAUUAGUCUCUCCCUUUAGCUUUCACUAUUUCCUGGCUACCCAGCAUGAAUAGUACAAGUAUCAGAUUGGUAUGUUCAACAAAUAAUAACCAUAGUACGUGAAUUAGUACCUAUUUGCUGUUUCUGUUAGAUACUGUACCAAGUUUUGCUCUGCCAUGGGAUCUAGAUAGUUAGGGGAAAUCAUGUUUCAUUUCAGAUUAUUAGAACUGAUGUUAUUUUUUCCAAACAGUAGAAGGACGAAGACGAGGAGGUGCUGGAGCUUGUCAGCCACCACUACAUCCAUCAAAACUUCCUUCGGAGGUAUUUCUUUCUCUUUUUCUGAACUUUUCUGUGUCAAACCGCAAAAAGGCUGAGAGUGUAUUUCUAUUUCUUGGUGCCCUUAAAAACCUGUCAAAGGCACCACCUUGAUCCAUAUUUUUCUAUUAUGGGUUUGUGUUCAUUGUAGUUUAACACAUGUUAAAAUAUCAUAAAAUGAUGAAUAUUGUGCACUCAAUCAACCAAGGACCAGUCAUGCCAAUUGUUUCUUUAAAUAUUCCAGAGUGGCACUCCGCACAAGAAUGUUGAAAUGGAAAAAUUAUUGCACAUGUUCUGAAAAGUAUAAUAUGAAGACAAAAAUGAUGAAUUUACAAGUAAGUCGGAUCUUAAAAGUAACAUUGAGGUGGAAAGCACAAUUAUAAAUGGUCACAACGUAAAAUAAAGCUCUGGUUCUCAGUUCUAAAUUAUUCCUUAUUUUCUUUGAGUUAACCUACAAAGUAAUACAACAUUUUGACAGUCAUUCUAUGAGUUCAUGUUUUUAAGGCUUAAAUUUGCUUGCCUGGUAAUUCUAAACCUAUAGGGUGGUAUUUACUUUAUGCGUGCCAUCGAUUAACUACUUCUAACAUUGGUCACAGGAGAAGAAGCAUAGGCAGGCUGUGAAGGAGGCUAUUGAG